UUUCAUUUAUAGAUUGGAUAUGGAUUAUUUUCGUCGACAGUGCCAGCCCAGGAAGGAGAGGUAGGAGGUGGCCAUUGGCGGUAAGGCUUCAGCCUCCAUGCUAAGAUAGUCAGGGUCUUUCCUGAACUGGCCUCCACUUUCCAGCUGUGGUUCCUCCAGGCCCCGUUUGCAAGCCCUGGCUGUAGCUCUUGCUCCCCGCUGCGCCCUGUGGGUCCCUGUCACUUCUGCCUGCGUGGCUUAGCGCACCCAACACAUCCUCCCUUAGAUAUUUGCUGAGAGGCUGCCCUGUGUCAGGCGCUGGGAACCCAGAGACUGUCAAAACCUGGUUCCACCCUGGGAGAGCUCCUGGCCAAGGGAGGAGGCAGCACAGGGAGAAAUAAUUACAAGAUAAUGUAGAAAUACUGUGCUACACAGUGCUCUGGGUGUGGAGGAGGCGGGGCUUGCUGAGGUAGCCAAGGGCUCAGGGAAGGUGACUCCUGACCUGGGUCUUAAGGACAGGGAGGCAGUAGGCCUGGGGAUGAGGAGUAAGACAAAAAGGAGAGGUUCAGAGCCUAGCUUUGUGGGAUGACAGGGUCCUUGAGAUCCAGACGGAGGCUUGAAUCAUCUGAGUAAACACACCUACACAGGAUAACCCAAGGGCACAUACAUACUCCCCAAAAGGCUUCUCACCCCACACUCCCCAUUGACCUCCACAUCUCCCCUACACGCAGGCUUACACGCACGUUUGCAGGCCUUGGUGUGUCCUUGGUCCCUCUGGCUUUCCUGGGAAGAACACCCUCCCCCACCUCCUGUUCCGCCCGCUGCCCUCACUGGCUGCAAAGCUCCCUCUUCAACUCUGGACUUUGUACCUGUCACCAGAAACUCACUUAUAAGGGCUGCCAGUGUGAGCAGCGGCCUGGGGGUGUCUGCCGCUUCUAGGGCCCGCUGGACCCCUGUCUGGGUUCCAGCUGCGCCCCUCUCUCCAGCACCAGGGGUGGCGGUGAGACUUGCGCCAUAAGGUUCUUGGCAGAAGCUUGGGAAGAUGUAGAAUUAGUCGUCGCUGUUGGAGGUGCUGCCUGCUGCCCGGGCCCUCCGCCCUCACCUGCCGCCCCAGCCCUGCCUGCUGCGUCCCCAGGUGUUUUCCCAGCCUGGAUACUCCACCCAGAUUGAGGUGUUCCACCUGCAGAUAAUCUCCAGCCUCAGCCAGCAGGUUUCUGGGCCCUGGGGCUGCCUGGCAUCUGGGGGUCUCCUUGGAGCUGGGCUCUUCUGGCAGAGGCUGGAGCUCACCGGUGUCUUCCAGCCCCUCCAUG
Molecule: long non-coding RNA, 1289 nt
Organism: Equus quagga
Lineage: Eukaryota; Metazoa; Chordata; Mammalia; Perissodactyla; Equidae
Exons: 3
Source: RefSeq, a predicted model, not a curated record